UACGUAGGGGGCAAGCGUUAUCCGGAUUUACUGGGUGUAAAGGGAGCGUAGACGGAAUUGCAAGUCAGAUGUGAAAACCACGGGCUCAACCUGUGGCCUGCAUUUGAAACUGUAGUUCUUGAGUACUGGAGAGGCAGACGGAAUUCCUAGUGUAGCGGUGAAAUGCGUAGAUAUUAGGAGGAACACCAGUGGCGAAGGCGGCCUGCUGGACAGAAACUGACGUUGAGGCUCGAAAGCGUGGGGAGCAAACAGG
This 253-nucleotide ribosomal RNA is filed under the name uncultured Oscillospira sp. Its description in RNAcentral is "partial 16S ribosomal RNA". It matches the Rfam family "Bacterial small subunit ribosomal RNA", at positions 524 to 776 of the family's 1533-position model. Lineage: Bacteria; Bacillati; Bacillota; Clostridia; Eubacteriales; Oscillospiraceae. The record is from RNAcentral.